GACGAACGCUGGCGGCGUGCUUAACACAUGCAAGUCGAACGGAAAGGCCCUGCUUUUGUGGGGUGCUCGAGUGGCGAACGGGUGAGUAACACGUGAGUAACCUGCCCUUGACUUUGGGAUAACUUCAGGAAACUGGGGCUAAUACCGGAUAGGAGCUCCUGCUGCAUGGUGGGGGUGGGAAAGUUUCGGCGGGUGGGGAUGGACUCGCGGCUUAUCAGCUUGUUGGUGGGGUAGUGGCUUACCAAGGCUUUGACGGGUAGCCGGCCUGAGAGGGUGGCCGGCCACAUUGGGCCUGCGAGACGGCCCAGACUCCUACGGGAGGCAGCAGUGGGGAGUCUUACGCAAUGAGCGGACGCCAGAUGCAGCAGCGCCGCGUGCGGGAUGACGGCCUUCGGGUUGUAAACCGCUUUCGCCUGUGACGAAGCGUGAGUGACGGUAAUGGGUAAGAAAGCCCCGGCUAACUACGUG
RNAcentral lists this ribosomal RNA (468 nucleotides) under uncultured bacterium. RNAcentral's name for it is "partial 16S ribosomal RNA". It matches the Rfam family "Bacterial small subunit ribosomal RNA", at positions 28 to 507 of the family's 1533-position model. The record is from RNAcentral.